This 484-nucleotide ribosomal RNA is filed under the name uncultured bacterium. RNAcentral describes it as "partial 16S ribosomal RNA". It matches the Rfam family "Bacterial small subunit ribosomal RNA", at positions 30 to 507 of the family's 1533-position model. The record is from RNAcentral.
AUUGAACGCUGGCGGCAGGCCUAACACAUGCAAGUCGAGCGGAUGAAGGGAGCUUGCUCCUGGAUUCAGCGGCGGACGGGUGAGUAAUGCCUAGGAAUCUGCCUGGUAGUGGGGGAUAACGUCCGGAAACGGGCGCUAAUACCGCAUACGUCCUUAGGGAGAAAGUGGGGGAUCUUCGGACCUCACGCUAUCAGACGAGCCUAGGUCGGAUUAGCUAGUUGGUGGGGUAAAGGCCUACCAAGGCGACGAUCCGUAACUGGUCUGAGAGGAUGAUCAGUCACACUGGAACUGGGACACGGUCCAGACUCCUACGGGAGGCAGCAGUGGGGAAUAUUGGACAAUGGGCGAAAGCCUGAUCCAGCCAUGCCGCGUGUGUGAAGAAGGUCUUCGGAUUGUAAAGCACUUUAAGUUGGGAGGAAGGGCAGUAAGUUAAUACCUCGCUGUUUUGACGUUACCAACAGAAUAAGCACCGGCUAACUUCGUG